Molecule: ribosomal RNA, 918 nt
Filed under: Escherichia coli
Lineage: Bacteria; Pseudomonadati; Pseudomonadota; Gammaproteobacteria; Enterobacterales; Enterobacteriaceae
Description: partial 23S ribosomal RNA
Rfam family: Bacterial large subunit ribosomal RNA
Source: RNAcentral
GGGUUGUGAGGUUAAGCGACUAAGCGUACACGGUGGAUGCCCUGGCAGUCAGAGGCGAUGAAGGACGUGCUAAUCUGCGAUAAGCGUCGGUGAGGUGAUAUGAACCGUUAUAACCGGCGAUUUCCGAAUGGGGAAACCCAGUGUGUUUCGACACACUAUCAUUAACUGAAUCCAUAGGUUAAUGAGGCGAACCGGGGGAACUGAAACAUCUAAGUACCCCGAGGAAAAGAAAUCAACCGAGAUUCCCCCAGUAGCGGCGAGCGAACGGGGAGGAGCCCAGAGCCUGAAUCAGUGUGUGUGUUAGUGGAAGCGUCUGGAAAGGCGCGCGAUACAGGGUGACAGCCCCGUACACAAAAAUGCACAUAUUGUGAGCUCGAUGAGUAGGGCGGGACACGUGGUAUCCUGUCUGAAUAUGGGGGGACCAUCCUCCAAGGCUAAAUACUCCUGACUGACCGAUAGUGAACCAGUACCGUGAGGGAAAGGCGAAAAGAACCCCGGCGAGGGGAGUGAAAAAGAACCUGAAACCGUGUACGUACAAGCAGUGGGAGCCUCUUAAUGGGGUGACUGCGUACCUUUUGUAUAAUGGGUCAGCGACUUAUAUUCUGUAGCAAGGUUAACCGAAUAGGGGAGCCGAAGGGAAACCGAGUCUUAACUGGGCGUUAAGUUGCAGGGUAUAGACCCGAAACCCGGUGAUCUAGCCAUGGGCAGGUUGAAGGUUGGGUAACACUAACUGGAGGACCGAACCGACUAAUGUUGAAAAAUUAGCGGAUGACUUGUGGCUGGGGGUGAAAGGCCAAUCAAACCGGGAGAUAGCUGGUUCUCCCCGAAAGCUAUUUAGGUAGCGCCUCGUGAAUUCAUCUCCGGGGGUAGAGCACUGUUUCGGCAAGGGGGUCAUCCCGACUUACCAACCCGAUGCAA